Molecule: long non-coding RNA, 223 nt
Filed under: Elaeis guineensis (African oil palm)
Lineage: Eukaryota; Viridiplantae; Streptophyta; Magnoliopsida; Arecales; Arecaceae
Description: long non-coding RNA (EGUI_LNC040345)
Source: RNAcentral
UGGUAGUGGUUAUAUUGAUAAUAAUCUUUUAAUCCUUGCACUCAAUGAAAAUAUCUUUUAUAUUGAUGAAAAUAUGAAAGAAAAAUGAAAAGAUAUGAAUGCCACAUAUCUCUGACAUUGCUGUCUUGGUCAUAUUAGUGAGUCAAGGAUAAACAAGUUAUAUAAAGAAGAGUUCUUUGACCCCUAUGAUUAUGAAUCAUUGAAAACUUGUAAAUUUUAUCUU